This 231-nucleotide ribosomal RNA is filed under the name uncultured bacterium. RNAcentral describes it as "partial 16S ribosomal RNA". It matches the Rfam family "Bacterial small subunit ribosomal RNA", at positions 333 to 581 of the family's 1533-position model. The record is from RNAcentral.
UUUUACCUACGGGGCGCAGCAGUGGGGAAUAUUGCGCAAUGGGGGAAACCCUGACGCAGCAACGCCGCGUGCGGGAUGAAGGCUUUCGGGUUGUAAACCGCUUUCAGCAGGGAAGAUAAUGACGGUACCUGCAGAAGAAGCCCCGGCUAACUACGUGCCAGCAGCCGCGGUAAUACGUAGGGGGCAAGCGUUAUCCGGAUUCAUUGGGCGUACAGCGCGCGCAGGCGGGCC